GGCCGGUUAGCUCAGUGGUUUGAGCGUGGUGCUGACAACAUGACCGACACUGAGGUCGCGGGUUCGAUUCUCGCUCGGUCCG
Molecule: transfer RNA, 82 nt
Filed under: Apaloderma vittatum (bar-tailed trogon)
Lineage: Eukaryota; Metazoa; Chordata; Aves; Trogoniformes; Trogonidae
Rfam family: tRNA
About the family: Transfer RNA (tRNA) molecules are approximately 80 nucleotides in length.
Source: Rfam by way of RNAcentral